This 278-nucleotide ribosomal RNA is filed under the name uncultured prokaryote. Its description in RNAcentral is "partial 16S ribosomal RNA". It matches the Rfam family "Bacterial small subunit ribosomal RNA", at positions 524 to 801 of the family's 1533-position model. The record is from RNAcentral.
GACGUAGGACGCGAGCGUUAUCCGGAUUUACUGGGCGUAAAGCGUCUGUAGGCGGAAGUGUAAGUUGGACGUGAAAGCUCCGGGCUCAACUCGGAGAGGCCGUUCAAUACUGCACAACUAGAGGCCAUCAGAGGGGCGUGGAAUUUCCGGUGUAGUGGUAAAAUGCGCAGAUAUCGGAAGGAACACCAGUGGCGAAGGCGGCGCCCUGGGGUGGGCCUGACGCUAAGAGACGAAAGCUAGGGGAGCGAACAGGAUUAGAUACCCUUGUAGUCCCUGAG